Molecule: ribosomal RNA, 398 nt
Filed under: uncultured bacterium
Lineage: Bacteria
Description: bacterial SSU rRNA
Rfam family: Bacterial small subunit ribosomal RNA
Source: RNAcentral
AUUGAACGCUGGCGGCAUGCCUUACACAUGCAAGUCGAACGGCAGCACGGGAGCAAUCCUGGUGGCGAGUGGCGAACGGGUGAGUAAUAUAUCGGAACGUGCCCAGUCGUGGGGAUAACGUAGCGAAAGCUACGCUAAUACCGCAUACGAUCUAUGGAUGAAAGCGGGGGAUCGCAAGACCUCGCGCGAUUGGAGCGGCCGAUAUCAGAUUAGGUAGUUGGUGAGGUAAAGGCUCACCAAGCCGACGAUCUGUAGCUGGUCUGAGAGGACGACCAGCCACACUGGGACUGAGACACGGCCCAGACUCCUACGGAGGCAGCAGUGGGGAAUUUUUGGGACAAUGGGCGCAAGCCUGAUCCAGCAAUGCCGCGUGCAGGAUGAAGGCCUUCGGUUGUAAC